This 412-nucleotide long non-coding RNA is filed under the name Homo sapiens (human). Its description in RNAcentral is "non-protein coding lnc-FARS2-1:1". The record is from RNAcentral. Lineage: Eukaryota; Metazoa; Chordata; Mammalia; Primates; Hominidae.
GGGAAGCGCUGGGGGUCGCGUGCCCUUGGCCGGAGGCCUGGUCACCCGCAGGCCCUGCCAUCCUCGGCUUGGCCGCUGCUGCCCGCGCGCCUGUGGCGGAGCGAGCCUGCCUCCAGGGCAGCCUCACCGCCUGGAUCCUGGGCAGGAGACCUCCCAGGUCCCUUCCUCUCUCCAGCUGUCUGGAAUGGAGCCGCCAUGUCUGGUGCUCAAGCGGCCAGCUCUGACCCAGAGGGUUAACCAGUGUUGGUUCCUGUUGUUUACAACCAAGAAUCCUGAGAAGUUCAUAUGUAGCCCACACAUAAGCUGAAGUAUUGCCUUAUGACAUAUUCUGAAUAUUCCAAUUAUUUUGCAAAUAAUUCCACUAAGAGAUUAAUACAUUCUAGAGCAUGUAGCUGUGGUUCAUUCAUUUUCA